UGCUAUAUUUAUGCUAAGUGUUAGGUGAUAUUAGUGAUGUGAUAUAGUUGAGAUCAUCGGAUUGCUAUUUUAUGGAUGUUAAAAGCUGAGCUUCGAAGUAAAAUCCAAGGG
This is a non-coding RNA of Onthophagus taurus, 111 nucleotides long. NCBI's taxonomy places the organism in Eukaryota, Metazoa, Arthropoda, Insecta, Coleoptera, Scarabaeidae. The record is from RefSeq and is a predicted model, not a curated record.